This 817-nucleotide small RNA is filed under the name Pan troglodytes (chimpanzee). RNAcentral's name for it is "processed transcript". Lineage: Eukaryota; Metazoa; Chordata; Mammalia; Primates; Hominidae. The record is from RNAcentral.
GCGGAGGCGGCCGAUUUGGGGCUGGGGGCCGCCGUCCCCGUGGAGCUGAGGCGGGAGCGACGCAUGGUGUGCGUGGAGUACCCGGGCGUGGUGCGUGAUGUGGCUAAGAUGCUGCCGACUCUGGGCGGCGAGGAAGGCGUCUCCCGGGGAUGUCUGACUUCCAGUACUUGGCUGUGCAUACGGAAGCAGGCGGCAAGCAUACGUCAAUGUAUGACAAGGUGCUCAUGCUCCGGCCCGAGAAGGAGGCCUUUUUCCACCAGGAGCUGCCGCUCUACAUCCCCCCGCCCAUCUUCUCCCGGCUGGACGCCCCGGUGGACUACUUCUACCGACCAGAGACCCAGCACCGGUAAGGCCCCCCUCCAUGCAGCCUCGGUUCUCCAUCCUGAAAAUGGGAUGGGCCGGGCACGGAGGCUCACGCACUGGGCGUGGUGGUGCACACCUGUAAUUCCAGCUACUCGGGAGGCUGAGGCUGGAGAAUCACUUGAACCCAUGAGGCGGAGGUUGCAGUGAGCCAAGAUCGCGUCACUGCACUCCAGCCCGGGUGACAGAGUGAGACUUUGUCUCCCAAAAAAAAAAAAAGAAAAUGGGAUGACAGUAGUACCACCCAACAGAGGUAUUGGGAUUGAAUUUAAAAAGCGUGUGCAGUUCCCAGCACAGGGCUGAGUACAGAACAGGGCCUUAGUAAGCAGUGGCCUGUGUGAUCGCCAGGUUGGCCUCAGUCCUGAGGACAGUGCGAAGAGCGUGACUGUGGGACAUGUGGGUUCCUGCUGAGAAAUGUCCUUUGGCUUAAUCCCCUGGUCAUUGCUGACCAGCCAGU